CCUACGGGAGGCAGCAGUGAGGAAUAUUGGUCAAUGGGCGCGAGCCUGAACCAGCCAAGUCGCGUGAGGGAAGACGGUCCUAUGGAUUGUAAACCUCUUUUGUCGGGGAGCAAAAGACGCCACGCGUGGCGUUCCGAGAGUACCCGAAGAAAAAGCAUCGGCUAACUCCGUGCCAGCAGCCGCGGUAAUACGGAGGAUGCGAGCGUUAUCGGGAUUUAUUGGGGUUAAAGGGUGCGCAGGCGGAAGAUCAAGUCAGCGGUAAAAUUGAGAGGCUCAACCUCUUCGAGCCGUUGAAACUGGUUGUCUUGAGUGAGUGAGAGGGAUGCGGAAUGCGAGGUGUAGCGGUGAAAUGCAUAGAUAUCACGCAGAACUCCGAUUGCGAAGGCAGCAUACCGGCGCUCAACUGACGCUCAUGCACGAAAGUGUGGGUAUCGAACAGGAUUAGAUACCCUUGUAGUC
This 459-nucleotide ribosomal RNA is filed under the name uncultured bacterium. RNAcentral describes it as "partial 16S ribosomal RNA". It matches the Rfam family "Bacterial small subunit ribosomal RNA", at positions 338 to 795 of the family's 1533-position model. The record is from RNAcentral.